UGGGGAAUCUUGCGCAAUGGGCGAAAGCCUGACGCAGCCAUGCCGCGUGUAUGAUGAAGGUCUUAGGAUUGUAAAAUACUUUCACCGGUGAAGAUAAUGACUGUAGCCGGAGAAGAAGCCCCGGCUAACUUCGUGCCAGCAGCCGCGGUAAUACGAAGGGGGCUAGCGUUGCUCGGAAUUACUGGGCGUAAAGGGAGCGUAGGCGGACAUUUAAGUCAGAGGUGAAAUCCCGGAGCUUAACUUCGGAACUGCCUUUGAUACUGGGUGUCUUGAGUGUGAGAGAGGUAGGUGGAACUCCGAGUGUAGAGGUGAAAUUCGUAGAUAUUCGGAAGAACACCAGUGGCGAAGGCGACAUACUGGCUCAUUACUGACGCUGAGGCUCGAAAGCGUGGGGAGCAAACAGGAUUAGAUACCCCUGUAGUCCCUGAGCGGGCUGGCAAGGCGCAU
RNAcentral lists this ribosomal RNA (447 nucleotides) under uncultured bacterium. Its description in RNAcentral is "bacterial SSU rRNA". It matches the Rfam family "Bacterial small subunit ribosomal RNA", at positions 355 to 825 of the family's 1533-position model. The record is from RNAcentral.